This is a transfer RNA of Scleropages formosus (Asian bonytongue), 82 nucleotides long. It matches the Rfam family "tRNA". Rfam says of the family: Transfer RNA (tRNA) molecules are approximately 80 nucleotides in length. Their secondary structure includes four short double-helical elements and three loops (D, anti-codon, and T loops). Further hydrogen bonds mediate the characteristic L-shaped molecular structure. tRNAs have two regions of fundamental functional importance: the anti-codon, which is responsible for specific mRNA codon recognition, and the 3' end, to which the tRNAs corresponding amino acid is attached (by aminoacyl-tRNA synthetases). tRNAs cope with the degeneracy of the genetic code in two manners: having more than one tRNA (with a specific anti-codon) for a particular amino acid; and 'wobble' base-pairing, i.e. permitting non-standard base-pairing at the 3rd anti-codon position. Lineage: Eukaryota; Metazoa; Chordata; Actinopteri; Osteoglossiformes; Osteoglossidae. The record is from Rfam.
GCUGCGAUGGCCGAGUGGUUAAGGUGUUGGACUUGAAAUCCAAUGGGGUCUCCCCGCGCAGGUUCAAGCCCUGCUCGCAGCG